Acanthosepion pharaonis is the source of this 104-nucleotide non-coding RNA. The record is from the annotation of a GenBank genome assembly. Lineage: Eukaryota; Metazoa; Mollusca; Cephalopoda; Sepiida; Sepiidae.
UUACGGCCAUAUCAUGUUGAGACACCGGUUCCCGUAUGAUCAACGAAGUUAAGCAACGUCGAGUAUCUCGAUGUAUGGCCGCUUGGGAAUACCAGGUGCUGCAA